This 549-nucleotide ribosomal RNA is filed under the name Dipodomys deserti (desert kangaroo rat). RNAcentral's name for it is "partial 16S ribosomal RNA". It matches the Rfam family "Bacterial large subunit ribosomal RNA", at positions 1816 to 2597 of the family's 2925-position model. Lineage: Eukaryota; Metazoa; Chordata; Mammalia; Rodentia; Heteromyidae. The record is from RNAcentral.
CACCUCUAGCAUUGCCAGUAUUAGAGGCACCGCCUGCCCAGUGACUCAAGUUAAACGGCCGCGGUAUCCUGACCGUGCAAAGGUAGCAUAAUAAUUUGUUCCUUAAUUAGGGACUUGCAUGAAUGGCAUGACGAGGGUUUUACUGUCUCUUACAUUUAAUCAAUGAAAUUGACCUUUCCGUGAAGAGGCGGAAAUAGCAAAAUAAGACGAGAAGACCCUAUGGAGCUUAAAUUAAUAUUCCAACUUCAAGACUUCCAACUCUAAUUGACACAAAAUCUUCACCACUGGAAUUAAAAUUUUGGUUGGGGUGACCUCGGAGCACAAACAAACCUCCGAAGGACAAACAUUAAGACCUACUAGUCAAAAUUACUAAGUCCUAAUUUGACCCAGAGCACAUCUGAUCAAUGAACCAAGUUACCCUAGGGAUAACAGCGCAAUCCUAUUAGAGAGUUCAUAUCGACAAUAGGGUUUACGACCUCGAUGUUGGAUCAGGACAUCCCAAUGGUGCAGCAGCUAUUAAAGGUUCGUUUGUUCAACGAUUAAAGUCCU